Molecule: long non-coding RNA, 449 nt
Organism: Syngnathus typhle (broad-nosed pipefish)
Lineage: Eukaryota; Metazoa; Chordata; Actinopteri; Syngnathiformes; Syngnathidae
Exons: 4
Source: RefSeq, a predicted model, not a curated record
AAGAUGUCGCCGCUUUCCGCCAGAGCUCUCUCCAUCACCCGGAUGCUGCAGUCGAAAAAAUUCUGGAAGUCGGACGAGUGCAUUAUUUGUUGCCUCUCCUCCUCCGUCAGUUCCCGCAGCACAGGGAACGAGCCUGCCGGUAUCCAGAUUCUGUUUAUUGUCUGAACACAAUGUGCUAUUCCAGUUGGUCUCCUUAUCCAGCUUCAGGAUGAAUAGAAAGAUGACCUACCCAAGCUCAGAAUCUGCUUGCAGCUGCAGCACAGAGGGGUCUGUGUCCCACUGCAGGGUCCUGACAUCACCAAUAGAGGGGGAGGUGUAUUGACCUAAAGGAGGCUCGGGUGAGAUGCCGAUACUCUGCAGCAAGGCCUCGGUCUCCCGCCGCUUGCGGUCCAAGUCCGAGUCCUCUGAGGUCGCCUCCGUCUUCUGUUGGAUCUCUGCCUGCACAGAAG